Molecule: ribosomal RNA, 449 nt
Filed under: uncultured bacterium
Lineage: Bacteria
Description: partial 16S ribosomal RNA
Rfam family: Bacterial small subunit ribosomal RNA
Source: RNAcentral
AACGAACGCUGGCGGCAUGCCUAAUACAUGCAAGUCGAACGAGAUCUUCGGAUCUAGUGGCGCACGGGUGCGUAACGCGUGGGAAUCUGCCCUUGGGUUCGGAAUAACAGCGGGAAACUGCUGCUAAUACCGGAUGAUGACGUAAGUCCAAAGAUUUAUCGCCCAGGGAUGAGCCCGCGUAGGAUUAGGUAGUUGGGGGGGUAAAGGCCUACCAAGCCUACGAUCCUUAGCUGGUCUGAGAGGAUGAUCAGCCACACUGGGACUGGGACACGGCGCAGACUCAUACGGGAGGCAGCAGUAGGGAAUAUUGAACAAUGGGGGCAACCCUGAUCCAGCAAUGCCGCGUGAGUGAUGAAGGCCUUAGGGUUGUAAAGCUCUUUUACCCGGGAUGAUAAUGACAGUACCGGGAGAAUAAGCCCCGGCUAACUCCGUGCCAGCAGCCGCCGUAA